Molecule: ribosomal RNA, 450 nt
Filed under: uncultured bacterium
Lineage: Bacteria
Description: partial 16S ribosomal RNA
Rfam family: Bacterial small subunit ribosomal RNA
Source: RNAcentral
CCUACGGGUGGCUGCAGUAAGGAAUAUUGGUCAAUGGACGAAAGUCUGAACCAGCCAUGCCGCGUGGAGGAUGAAGGUCCUCUGGAUUGUAAUCUUCUUUUAUAUGGGACGAAAAAAGGCCUUUCUAGGCCGUCUGACGGUACCAUAUGAAUAAGCACCGGCUAACUCCGUGCCAGCAGCCGCGGUAAUACGGAGGGUGCAAGCGUUAUCCGGAUUAACGGGGUUUUAGGUGUGCUUAGAAGGGUUGAUAGAAAUCUCCGAGCUUAACUUGGAAACUGCCAUUGAUACUAUUAAUAUUGAAGAUUGUGGAGGUUAGCGGAAUAUGUCAUGUAGCGGUGAAAUGCUUAGAUAUGACAUAGAACACCAAUUGCGAAGGCAGCUGGCUACACAUAUAUUGACACUGAGGCACGAAAGCGUGGGGAUCAAACAGGAUUAGAUACCCUUGUAGUC